This 432-nucleotide ribosomal RNA is filed under the name uncultured bacterium. Its description in RNAcentral is "bacterial SSU rRNA". It matches the Rfam family "Bacterial small subunit ribosomal RNA", at positions 23 to 499 of the family's 1533-position model. The record is from RNAcentral.
CUCAGAGCGAACGCUGGCGGCAGGCUUAACACAUGCAAGUCGAGCGGGCCCUUCGGGGUCAGCGGCAGACGGGUGAGUAACGCGUGGGAACGUGCCCUUCGGUUCGGAAUAACUCAGGGAAACUUGAGCUAAUACCGGAUACGCCCUUUUGGGGAAAGGCUUGACUGCCGAAGGAUCGGCCCGCGUCUGAUUAGCUGGUUGGUGAGGUUAUGGCUCACCAAGGCGACGAUCAGUAGCUGGUCUGAGAGGAUGAUCAGCCACACUGGGACUGAGACACGGCCCAGACUCCUACGGGAGGCUGCAGUGGGGAAUAUUGGACAAUGGGGGCAACCCUGAUCCACCCACGCCGCGUGAGUGAUCACGGCCUUAGGGUCGUACAGCUCUUUUCCCCGGGACGAUAAUGACGGUAUCCGGACGAAUUACCCCCGGCUA